AGGCUUAAAAGGGCACAAGGCAAGGAAGUGACACCGGGAGAAUCUGUACCCACCACCCGUCUUCUUUCCACUGUGCCUACAUCAGGAGCGCUCUGAGCCAGCAGACACCUGGGAAAAUGGGAGAAGAGGGGUCUGUAAUCUAAGAAAGGUGGUCUUUAUCACCAAUGCUGGUGUCAAGCCAUUGGGUGUCCUCCUACCUUGCGUGACAGAGAGCUACAACUGACACGAAUUCUCCUAAAAGCAAAAGCAAGCGGGUGUUACUGUCACUUACUGGUCAAAAAUCUCACAGUGGAGGGAACUGCUUUGUUCUUUUCAUGCUCUUCCCCUUAGAGAACAAAGCUGAGGCCCCCUGUAUCUAACCAGCCUCUCCGUUCAUGGCCUUCAGUCUACUCAUGCUUUGCAAAGAGAAAAAGAAAAGACAGCACCAAACCAGACUAAACAAACAAACAACAAAGACACCAACCAACACCGCAGCCCCCGGGCUCUCUCUCUGGUCCCGUCAACAUUUACGACAAUUUACUUCGGAAAAAAGAGCCACUGUGGAGACCCAGCUCUACCUUGUGCUCCAGGCUGGAGUCUUUAAACAUCAGUGAGAAUGGCUUGAUAUGCUCUCUUCUCAAUUUAUCGCCACUCCGCAAGUCGAUGCCAAGGAAUGGUCAAUGAGACCUUACUGCAGGAGAGGUCUCCGUGGUAUCGCCGUGGGAAGAGGUUUAAGUUAUUUUCGUAAGCUCGUAGCUUCUGCUCCAAGAAAUGAAAUAACAAGGGGCAGAACUCUGCUGAAAAAACAGUCCAGAUGUUUCCAGCCGGCCUGUGUGGGAUUCCAGCAACUGUCUGUAACCUGGUUCCCAAACUUCAAUCGAGCACACGAGCCCUGGAACUUCACGGAAAAGAAGCGUGAUUAGCCAAAGUUAAUGGACCAAAUUGCCUACUUAAUCCACUCAACGCUCCCUGAAGGCUUCAAAUCCACUUGCCUGUCUGAACAGAGUGAAAAACCAGACCCCUUUAAUGACUCUCCCGGGCUGAACUCAGCGGCUGUCUUCCAAGUCAGGGCUAAGGGCUGCCUGGGGAGAUGUGUUGUGGGAAAAAGCCCUGUUACCAGAAGAGCGCAGGUGCACUGGGGGGAAACGGACCAAGCCCUCCGUGUUCUCUAUCCAAAAAGCCUGCCGCUGUCCCGUCCAGUGAACAUCAAAACUUAAUCUGAUGUCAAAAUGGUUAAAGAUAAAUUACGGAUGGAGAAAAAUUCACCUGUGAUUUCCUGCAUACAAGAUUGAAUACGGACGAUUAGAUUUUCAGCAGCCUACCCCAGAAGCAGUAAGGUCUGAGAAUACACCGUCUUCUUUCUCUUCAGAACCAAGGCCCGAGAUUUCGGGCAUGUUUAGGAGGAGGGGUUCCAGGUCAGGGUUCUCUGGGGUGGGGGGGGGGUGGGGAGAGAAGUGCUCCUUCUGAGCAGUAGAAACCCAGGCUGAGAUGGUGGCCUUGCCGUCCCUCUCCUCCGUGGGUCUUGCUCCCUCACCCUUGGCCUACGAAUGCUUGUCUGUGGGUCUCAGUUUCAUAGCCACUACCUUGGGAAGGUCUUCCCCAAUUACUCUGCCCCCUGUCCUUUGUUAAUGCUGUCCUGCUAUGACAGUAAGUUCACACUGAGCUGUUGACCUGGUGGUAAUCCCAGGGACCAGGAACUCUUUGACAGCUUGGACUUCCUUUCUCAUCCUUCCCCGCCCCCCCCUCACAGUGCCUGGCAAAUGGCCCCAGCACAGUGCCUGGCAAAUGGCUUUUACUCAAUAAACAGCUGAGUAACGAAUGACUGAAUGAGAGAACAAAUGAAUGGGGGGACUGACUUGUUCAAGUGGAUGA
Felis catus (domestic cat) is the source of this 1851-nucleotide long non-coding RNA. RefSeq lists it as uncharacterized. The transcript is spliced from 3 exons. The record is from RefSeq and is a predicted model, not a curated record. Lineage: Eukaryota; Metazoa; Chordata; Mammalia; Carnivora; Felidae.